AUAUAUAUAUAUAUAUAUAUAUAUAUAUAUAUUGUAAUAAGCAAAAAAAGCAUUGCCCCGUGAAUUUUUGUGAUCUUUAGAUUGCAGCAGAAACUCCAUCUCCACCAAUUUUGAUUGCAGUCACAGUAUAGUAGAGCAGUACCGAUGCUGAAGGAUAAUCCUGUACACAAGUAAAGGUGUUAUCAUAUUAGAAGCAAUAUGAUGUUAUCCAAGAACAAAUGGCCGUACAUACUGUAUACCCUCCAGUGGUUUAGUCACUUACCCUUAUUUUCAUCACCAUUGUCGUCAUCUGUUUUAUGGUCAUUAUUCAUGCAUGUGUAGUUUAAUUGUUAUUUCCUGAUGGCAUGGUUUCCCUGUUACAGAGUGGGUACUGUACUGGGAAUUAUUUGAGGGACUUGUGAGUACCCUCUUAGCUGGCAAGACAGGGUUGCUACUCCCUGAGGUAAUGAAAGAUUACUCACAUAUGAGUGAAUGUCAAAGAUUAACUAGGAUAAUACACCUUGAAUUAUCAUGAUAAUAAAAAAACUUGUUUUCAAGUUAAUGGGAUUCGUGUUGACAGUAUACCGUACUGUGUUUAAUAGGCAAUCCAGUCAAGUCUUAAAGUCAAAGCUUUCUUUAGCAUUAACACUGCCAAUAGUGUUGUAAGCUUCAUUUAUUGUAUCAUCCCAUGUCUGUACUGUAUUGUGUUUAUAUUAUUCCUUUUAUUUCAAUAAUACCUUUUCCCCGCUAUACUUCAGUAUUGUACUAACGUAGGCUCUCCAUUUAGUAUCUCUCUAUUUGCCAUAAUAUGUAUUCUGCAACAAGAAGAAUCAGAAUGCUUCCACUUUGGAAAAUUAAACCGUGUAAGUUCUGGAUUCCCACUGUUGGACAAUUAUUAUCUUCAGCACCAUAUAGAUCAUCUACCCAUUCCUCGGCUGCUUCUCAUCAGUUUACAGUAAAAAUAACAUUCAUGUUGAAUUUCUCCACUAAUUUGUGUUGCAAUAUUUUUCUGUUCCCCCGCACUUCAUAUACUGUACUGUACUGUGUAUAAAAGUUGAGGAGGAGAAUAUGAGGAAGUGUGUGUGUGGAGUAUCUUUAAUUGUUGUUUCAGCCCUAUUCUCCCGCUUUCUACAUUUGUCUUUCACUAUGUUGUUUUACCAUUUCACUCCUUUCUUAAGACGUCGUAAUAGCCAUCAACAUAUUACUCACUAUAAAGAAUUCAAGAAUAUUUGUAUUUAUUUUGCAUUAUUAACUCAUUUGUAUUGAUGUCGAGAGAGAGGAACUACUGUGCAUCAUUGAUAUUUCAGUGGACAGAUAAUUGGUGAAGAUAGAGUUACGGAGAAGAGGAUUGUUGGACAGACUUUAAAAUAAUUCCUACAGUGCAUCAGAUGUAGACAAUGGCAUAAAAUUUUUUUAAAUAGUUGUUAAUAUCAAAGUGUAUUGUGUACUGUAUAUGUUAAAAUCUUAAGAAUAAUUUAACUGAAGAUGUAGCCAUCCUCCAUUGAAAUUUUCAAUACUGUAUCUAGUUGCCUGAAGAUGUUGUCAUACUUCUUAUCUUCAAUUCACUGUUAAGAUUUCCCUUGUAUAAAUUACUUCUUUUAUCAUAUUACAGUGAAACCUCCAUAUAAUCCCUUAGAUGGAUGUUUCAUAUCUAACAGACCCUUGAUAUAAUGGACUUUCCUCUCCAUAUAGUCUAUUAAAUCCUGUAGAGGUUUUACAAUAUACACUGUUCCUUUUACUUUGUACUGUACUGUACUGUACUUUACUUCAUUUGUAAGAUGGGAUACUAGAAAUUGUGUACAGCAUGGAGUAUUUUUUGCCCGUUUCACUCCCUUCUUGUAACUUCGUACACUUCUCUUCCUCUUCUCACUCUUAUAUCAUUUUACUCCUUUUUGUGGUUUCUGGUCUCUCCUGGACAUAAUGAGAGAGGAGUAAAGGUGAUAUACUGUACAGUAGGUAAAUAAGAUAUUCCUCACACUACACAGUUAUGAAAUUCACUCCCAGCUCUACGGUAGAUGUUAAAGUGUAGGGCUUAUCAAACAACCCGUAAAAUGCACCAAUUGAUCCUUUAUCUUCCACAAAUUGCAGGACCAACAGGGCACAGGUCUGGGAGCAUCAUUAGAUGUAUUGGUUCUGUCAUCUGCUUCUCUCUUUUUUUCUACUCUGUAUUUUACAAAAUAUAUUAAAAGAAAAGCUGUGUUUCAAGCAUUAUAAUAUUUUAAGGUGUGUUCAAACAAUUUAAAUUAUACAGUAUAACUGUACUCUUUAUGUAAUGUUACAAUAAAUAUGGAUAAGGAUAUUCUGCAGUUCUCUAUAUGGACACAACAAUUUUGUACAAAUUUGCAUUUUGUUUUCUUUACAUUUAUUAACAUAUAAUUAUUAGACUGACUUCUGAUUACACAUCUGUACUGUACGUACAAAGAUUUCUAGCCACAAAUCCUUUUAUAUUUUGUUUUGUUACUGUGAUUCUUAUUAGCCAUAGCAUUGUUACAGAUUGAAUUGUGAAUACACAUCCAUUCAAGUCUUUUUAUAAUUAUUAGAUAGUGUUUUUUUUUUUUGUUUAUUGGCAUUAAACUUAACCAAAGAGAGAUGUAGUGUUUGUGAAUAAAAACUUUAAGUUUAUGAGGUUUGUCACAUGUGGUGACAAUAAAUGAGUUGCUAGUCUUUUGUAUCUGAAAGCCUAUUGAUAUGUUUCAUAGCAAACAGUUUUGGUGCAGACUUGUUACAGUAUUUUGUAGAUGAUGAUCAUCAUUAUUGUAAAUACCUGUACAGGUAAUGAUGGAACAUAAGUUCAUGUUAGAAGUCUUUUUUUCUGAACUUUUGUGUACUAACUCUCGUGCUUCUUCAUGAAGGCCUGUCCUAACAAAGUGACAUCGGUAGGAUGUAUUGAAUAGUGACAGGAAGAACUGUUAUAUUUAAUAAAAAAAAUAAGUCAUUA
Homarus americanus (American lobster) is the source of this 2917-nucleotide long non-coding RNA. RefSeq lists it as uncharacterized. NCBI's taxonomy places the organism in Eukaryota, Metazoa, Arthropoda, Malacostraca, Decapoda, Nephropidae. The transcript has 2 exons. The record is from RefSeq and is a predicted model, not a curated record.